GGAAGAGAAAGAAAAUUCGAUUCCCUUAGUAGCGGCGAGCGAAACGGGAAGAGCCCAAACCAACAAGCUUGCUUGUUGGGGUUGUAGGACACUCUAUACGGAGUUACAAAGGACGACAUUAGACGAAUCAUCUGGAAAGAUGAAUCAAAGAAGGUAAUAAUCCUGUAGUCGAAAAUGUUGUCUCUCUUGAGUGGAUCCUGAGUACGACGGAGCACGUGAAAUUCCGUCGGAAUCUGGGAGGACCAUCUCCUAAGGCUAAAUACUCUCUAGUGACCGAUAGUGAACCAGUACCGUGAGGGAAAGGUGAAAAGCACCCCGGAAGGGGAGUGAAAUAGAACCUGAAACCGUGUGCUUACAAGUAGUCAGAGCCCGUUAAUGGGUGAUGGCGUGCCUUUUGUAGAAUGAACCGGCGAGUUACGAUUUGAUGCAAGGUUAAGCAGUAAAUGUGGAGCCGUAGCGAAAGCGAGUCUGAAUAGGGCGUUUAGUAUUUGGUCGUAGACCCGAAACCAGGUGAUCUACCCUUGGUCAGGUUGAAGUUCAGGUAACACUGAAUGGAGGACCGAACCGACUUACGUUGAAAAGUGAGCGGAUGAACUGAGGGUAGCGGAGAAAUUCCAAUCGAACCUGGAGAUAGCUGGUUCUCUCCGAAAUAGCUUUAGGGCUAGCCUCAAGUGAUGAUUAUUGGAGGUAGAGCACUGUUUGGACGAGGGGCCCCUCUCGGGUUACCGAAUUCAGACAAACUCCGAAUGCCAAUUAAUUUAACUUGGGAGUCAGAACAUGGGUGAUAAGGUCCGUGUUCGAAAGGGAAACAGCCCAGACCACCAGCUAAGGUCCCAAAAUAUAUGUUAAGUGGAAAAGGAUGUGGCGUUGCCCAGACAACUAGGAUGUUGGCUUAGAAGCAGCCAUCAUUUAAAGAGUGCGUAAUAGCUCACUAGUCGAGUGACACUGCGCCGAAAAUGUACCGGGGCUAAACAUAUUACCGAAGCUGUGGAUUGUCCUUUGGACAAUGGUAGGAGAGCGUUCUAAGGGCGUUGAAGCAUGAUCGUAAGGACAUGUGGAGCGCUUAGAAGUGAGAAUGCCGGUGUGAGUAGCGAAAGACGGGUGAGAAUCCCGUCCACCGAUUGACUAAGGUUUCCAGAGGAAGGCUCGUCCGCUCUGGGUUAGUCGGGUCCUAAGCUGAGGCCGACAGGCGUAGGCGAUGGAUAACAGGUUGAUAUUCCUGUACCACCUAUAAUCGUUUUAAUCGAUGGGGGGACGCAGUAGGAUAGGCGAAGCGUGCGAUUGGAUUGCACGUCUAAGCAGUAAGGCUGAGUAUUAGGCAAAUCCGGUACUCGUUAAGGCUGAGCUGUGAUGGGGAGAAGACAUUGAGUCUUCGAGUCGUUGAUUUCACACUGCCGAGAAAAGCCUCUAGAUAGAAAAUAGGUGCCCGUACCGCAAACCGACACAGGUAGUCAAGAUGAGAAUUCUAAGGUGAGCGAGCGAACUCUCGUUAAGGAACUCGGCAAAAUGACCCCGUAACUUCGGGAGAAGGGGUGCUCUUUAGGGUUAACGCCCAGAAGAGCCGCAGUGAAUAGGCCCAAGCGACUGUUUAUCAAAAACACAGGUCUCUGCUAAACCGUAAGGUGAUGUAUAGGGGCUGACGCCUGCCCGGUGCUGGAAGGUUAAGAGGAGUGGUUAGCUUCUGCGAAGCUACGAAUCGAAGCCCCAGUAAACGGCGGCCGUAACUAUAACGGUCCUAAGGUAGCGAAAUUCCUUGUCGGGUAAGUUCCGACCCGCACGAAAGGCGUAACGAUUUGGGCACUGUCUCAACGAGAGACUCGGUGAAAUCAUAGUACCUGUGAAGAUGCAGGUUACCCGCGACAGGACGGAAAGACCCCGUGGAGCUUUACUGUAGCCUGAUAUUGAAAUUCGGCACAGCUUGUACAGGAUAGGUAGGAGCCUUUGAAACGUGAGCGCUAGCUUACGUGGAGGCGCUGGUGGGAUACUACCCUAGCUGUGUUGGCUUUCUAACCCGCACCACUUAUCGUGGUGGGAGACAGUGUCAGGCGGGCAGUUUGACUGGGGCGGUCGCCUCCUAAAAGGUAACGGAGGCGCUCAAAGGUUCCCUCAGAAUGGUUGGAAAUCAUUCAUAGAGUGUAAAGGCAUAAGGGAGCUUGACUGCGAGACCUACAAGUCGAGCAGGGUCGAAAGACGGACUUAGUGAUCCGGUGGUUCCGCAUGGAAGGGCCAUCGCUCAACGGAUAAAAGCUACCCCGGGGAUAACAGGCUUAUCUCCCCCAAGAGUUCACAUCGACGGGGAGGUUUGGCACCUCGAUGUCGGCUCAUCGCAUCCUGGGGCUGUAGUCGGUCCCAAGGGUUGGGCUGUUCGCCCAUUAAAGCGGUACGCGAGCUGGGUUCAGAACGUCGUGAGACAGUUCGGUCCCUAUCCGUCGUGGGCGUAGGAAAUUUGAGAGGAGCUGUCCUUAGUACGAGAGGACCGGGAUGGACAUACCUCUGGUGUACCAGUUGUCGUGCCAACGGCAUAGCUGGGUAGCUAUGUGUGGACGGGAUAAGUGCUGAAAGCAUCUAAGCAUGAAGCCCCCCUCAAGAUGAGAUUUCCCAACUUCGGUUAUAAGAUCCCUCAAAGAUGAUGAGGUUAAUAGGUUCGAGGUGGAAGCAUGGUGACAUGUGGAGCUGACGAAUACUAAUCGAUCGAAGACUUAAUCAA
Molecule: ribosomal RNA, 2707 nt
Filed under: Staphylococcus aureus M1276
Lineage: Bacteria; Bacillati; Bacillota; Bacilli; Caryophanales; Staphylococcaceae
Also listed under: 3 other names
Description: bacterial LSU rRNA
Rfam family: Bacterial large subunit ribosomal RNA
Source: RNAcentral